AUUGAUGAUCCUAACCUGUGCAGGCCUAGGCCAAGAUAACUCAGCCUACUUAAAGCCCACCAGAAAGUCAGUGAACAAAUCUCCCAACCCACUCACCCACCAUCAACCCAUAAACUCACCAGCAUGUAUUGAAGGCCUACCUUGUUGUGCCUGGCACAGUGUUUGGUGCCAUGUGGAAUGGCAAAGCAGGACCAGACAGCGUCCCUGACACCCUGGUGCUUGUAAUCUAGUUGGAGAGAUAUGAUAAAAAUAAAUGACACAAUUACAGAAUCUGACAGAAUGUAAUAAAGUGCUAAAUUGUGUGGUACAGACAAUUAGAGAACAAGACAGUAUAUAAUAAAGUGCUAAUUGUGUGGUACAGACAAUAAGUAUAAUAGGAGUUCAGUGAAGGGAUAGAUGAGUGUGGGCUGCAGUCUUCAGGGAAGGCUUCUCAUCAUGUCAGUGCUGCCGUGUUUAUCCAGUGCAUGACGGGAAAUGGAAUAUGAAAUAGAAGAUGGAUUAUGAGCAGAAUAAUGGUGCUGAACUGUGGUAUCUCUUCUCAGGCUGGAUGAACACAGAAAGAGAAAGAGUCCUUUGAAAGGUAGCAUUCUCCAUUAAAAAAAAUCAAAUAGAGAAAUAUUUUAUUUUCUUUAUUAGUUUUGUUAUAGAAAAUUUCUACAGAAACUUAAAAUCAUAUUUUAAAUUGAAUAAUGUUUUAAAUGUACCAGGAAGCUCACUGUUUAAAGGAGCCAUGUUGUAAAUCCUUUUCAUAAAUGAAAAAUACUUUUGCAUUAUUGAUGAUCACUUAGUUUAUACAAAAUUCCUCAAAGCUGAUAGUAAAUAGGUACUCUGAUACACUACUGGUGGGAUUGAUGAACCUUUUACAAGGUAACUUGGCAAUGUGUGCCUAAAAUUUUGACAAUGUGCAUAUUGUUCAACCAAUCAGUUUCACUUCUGGGAAUUUAUCCUAAGGACAUAAUAAUAAUAGCCAACUGCAAGAAUAACUUUACUACAGUGAUAAUUAUCACAGAGUUAGGAGAAACUGGGAACAAUCUAAAUGCCCCCAAAGAGAGGACUGAUGAAAUAAAC
This 1068-nucleotide long non-coding RNA is filed under the name Homo sapiens (human). RNAcentral describes it as "HSALNT0018497". Lineage: Eukaryota; Metazoa; Chordata; Mammalia; Primates; Hominidae. The record is from RNAcentral.